UUUAGGUCAUAUGUGGAAGUGGGAAAGUAGCUGAGGAUUUUGGAGCAUAUCAUUAAGCACUUGAGCAAGAGGCUCAUUAAACAACACCUCAUCCCUCCUUGAUAGUAUUGGCUUUUCCUAUGGACUCAAUGUGAUCUUGGAUCACUAAAAUGUAAAAUGAAGAGUCUUGAGCUUUGAGCUUUAGCCAAUCCUUUGUCCUUAGCAUCUUGGAGAACUUCCCAUAGCCUUUAGUCCAUGCCACUCCAUUGUUGAACUUAUCUGAAACAUACUAGAUAGAAAUGUUAGUCCAACAAGAGAUAUGUUGUCAUCAAUUAUCAAAACCACCUAGGGAGCACUUGUGCUUUCAAUCUCCCCCUUUUUGGUAAUUCAUGGCAACAUACAUCAAAGCUUUAGAUAAAGAUAUAAAGAGCAGCAAGUAAAGCUUUGGAAGGACAUGUAACAAGCAUAGGCUCCCCCUACAUGUAUGCGCUCAUGUAAAUGUGAAAUAUAGAGGCAUGUGAGAGCAUAACCAUGACAGAGUAGGCAAUGUGUUACAUGUAUCUUGGCCAUAUGCAUGAGAGCAAAGGAUUAUCAUGGAAAAUACCUUCAUGUUCAUGAGUCCUUCUUGCAAACAGUAUGUACAUAAGCAAGAACUCCUCAUACUCAUGUUUUUGAUGCAUACACUUACCUUGUAGUCUUUGGUUGGCUUAGGAUGGAAUGAACCUGCACAAACAAAGUUAGAUAACACAGGUACAUCCACUAGCCAGAGCAACCACAAGAAACCACAAGAAUACCAAGACUGGGAUGACAUGUAGAGAGUAAGUACUAGGUACUACAUUGGAUUCAACAUGUCCCCAAGAGUAAAGAUAUGCAUCGAAUUUGACUGAUCUCUUUCCCUUAGGUGUCUUGCUCCCCCUGAAUCUUACAUGGGAUAUUGGGAGAAGAUAGGGAACAGAAAAACAGAGCUGAAAGAUACAAAUGAACAUGUCUUCUCCCCUUAAAAAGACAUGUGACAUCUCUCCUCUUGAACAUCAAUCAUCUGGGAUCCUUGAGUAUUUUCUCUCCCCCUGGAAAUCUCUUUCUCCCUUGUAGGUUUGGUCCUUGAGACUUUUUCUCCCCCUUGAUGUGAUCUCUCUUUCCUUCAAGCUUUGAUGUGAUCUCUCUCUCCCCCUUUGACAUCAAUUUCCAAGAAGGGCUUUCUGGAAUCUGUCGUAUAGGUUUGGUCCUUGAGACUCAGCACAAAGCAAUGGAUAAAACUGUGAUGCUUGCAGAGGACAAGAUUCAUUGAGUGGAGCUGGAUCAGAAGGAAAAUAGAAUAUGUGACAAACUGUUUUUCCUGUUGCUAAAUCGGUGGCACCGAGUGGUAUGUUUCGGUGGUACCGAAGGAAUUCGGUUGGACCGAAAAUUACAAUUCGGUGAGACCGAGUUCACACAGAGAAAGACACUUGUCACCUCAGCUCACUACACAUGUAGGAUCUCACAAAGAUUUGCAAUGAAUUACCUGAAGGAUUUGCAAGGAAUUAAAUGCAGAAAAUGCAAAACAAAACAAAACGAAGAGAGACUGAAAGAUCUAGAUGAAGUUGAAGGAAACAAAUAAACAAGCAUGAGACAAAUGCAGUAACACAGAAAAGAACACAAGAGAACUUCAUCUAGAGUUGGGCGGUGACAUAGUCACCUAUGUUAGAGUAUAUUGACUUAGGAGUCAAGUGAGAACACUUGAUCAUAGGUCAUACUCAUCGUUUAAGCUCAAAAUGGGGUUACCAUUUUUCGUUUAAGCAUCUUGAUGUGUUCACAUCUUGUUGAGUUGCUUUGACUCAUGUCUUGGAGUAAAGCUUCUUUAAGAUGGAAUAACAUACCUUGGGUGGUGGUGUGGUUCUUGCUCAUGUAGUUGAACUUGUGUGGAUGCUCAAGGUUGAUGUGGUUCAUCAAGGGUUGGGAGCACCACUUGGAGUUUGAGUUCAUCUUUCUACACGGGUUAGUUCUUGCAAGGAAGAGCACUUGUGUAUCCAAAAAUGACAAUCAUGGAGCUCAACAUAGAAUUUGUCAAAGGAUAUGUUUGAAUGGUUUUGGUAAGCUUCCUUGUCUUCAACCACCAUUGUGUAGAGACUUGGUGAUGUAGAGAUUGCUCAAGAUGUGAGUGAGUCGCAAUCUCAUGGAAUUAGGUUCAACCAAGCACCAACAUGGGUUAGAUAACAUGCAAGAUAAAUAUAUACAAGACAUAAGAUAGUCAUCAUAAGAGAUAUAUCAUGGAUUAGUCAUAAGCUCAUGUCUUGCAUGUAUCCAAUGGAGUUCCUACUCCAAGUUCGAAGCAUCAAUAAUGUUCAAUUCUCCUCUCAACCUGCAAAACACUUUCUCAUCAAGAGGUUUAGUAAAUAUAUCCGCUAAUUGCUUAUCGGUGCGAACAUGUUUAAGAUUAAUGUCACCCUUAGCAACAUGGUCUCGAAUGAAAUGAUGACGAACUUCAAUAUGCUUAGUUCGAGAAUGUUGUAUGGGAUUAUGACCAAUUUUGAUAGCACUUUCAUUGUCACAAAGCAGUGGAACAUGUUUCACAUAGAUUCCAUAAUAUCUAAGAGUUUGGGUCAUCCAAAGUAAUUGAGCACAACAUGAACCAGCGGCAAUGUAUUCCGCUUCGGCGGUGGAUAGAGAUACCGAAUUUUGUUUCUUGGAGGACCAAGACACGAGAGAUCUACCAAGAAAUUGACAAGUACCCGAAGUGGACUUUCUAUCAACCUUGUCUCUGGCAUAAUCCGAGUCGGAAUAGCCAACAAGAUCAAAAGAAGACCUCUUAGGAUACCAAAUGCCAAAGUUUGGUGUAUGAAUUAAGUAUCUCACUAUCCUUUUCACGGCCUUAAGAUGACAUUCUUUAGGAGCAGCUUGAUAUCAUGGACACAUGCACACACUUAGCAUAAUAUCGGGACAUGAAGCACAUAGGUAUAACAAUGAACCAAUCAUAGAGCGAUAAACCUUUUGAUCAACCGGUUCACCGUCUUUGGUCAAAUCAUUAUGUCCACUAGUAGGCAUGGGUGUAGACAUACCUUUGCAUUCUUGCAUAUUGAACUUCUUGAAUAAGUCCUUGGUGUACUUUGUUUGAGAGACAAAUGUACCUUCCUUAGUUUUCUUGAUUUGCAAACUGAGAAAGAAUUUGAGUUCACUCAUCAUAGACAUCUCAAACUUCUCUGACAUUAGCUUUCCAAACUUUUCACUAAAGAGAGGGUUAGUUGAACCAAAUAUGAUAUCAUCAACAUAAAUUUGGCAUACAAAUAGUUCUCCAUUAACUCUCUUAGUAAAAAGAGUAGAAUCAAUUUUACUAAUUUCGAAACCACUUGCAAUAAGGAACUUGGUCAAGCAUUUAUACCAUGCUCUAGGAGCUUGUUUAAGACCAUAAAGAGCUUUGUGAAGUUUGUAAACAUGAUUAGGUUUCUUAGGAUUGACAAAGCCGGGAGGUUGUUUGACAUAAACUUCCUCCUCUAUUUCACCAUUUAGAAAAGCACUUUUAAUGUCCAUUUGGUACAAGGUGAUAUUAUGGUGAUUAGCAUAGGCAAGUAAGAUGCGAAUGGACUCAAGUCUAGCAACGGGAGCAUAUGUCUCACCAUAGUCCAUACCUUCGACUUGUGUGUACCCUUGGGCGACGAGACGUGCUUUGUUGCGAACCACUUGUCCAUCUUCAUCUUGCUUGUUGCGAAACACCCAUUUGGUACCAAUGAUGUUGUGGUUGUUGUCGGGCUUCUCAACCAAUGUCCAAACUUGGUUUCUCUCAAAGUUGUGUAGCUCUUCAUGCAUAGCGUUUAUCCAAUCCGGAUCUUCCAAUGCUUCUUCAACCUUCAGAGGUUCAAUGCUAGAGAUGAAUGAAUAGUUUUCACAAAAGUUAGCUAAACGAGUCUUUGAGCGAGUGAUUCUCCCGGUUUGUAUGUCAUUGAAGAUUUGCUCGACGGGAUGAUCUUUGGCAAUUCUUGCUCGAACUCGUGAGAGCUUUUGCUUGGGUCUUCGUUGAACAUCUUCUUCAUCUUGUUCUUCUUCUUGGCCUUCUUCAUUGUUGACGUUGUCGUUCUCUUGUCGUGGUGGAGAAGGAGGUUGUUGAUGUUCGUCUUGAUGCAUUUCCUUGUCUUCUUCAUCUUGGUGUCUCCCACUUGUGGAUGCUUCCGUGUCGAAUCUUGGUUCACCUUGUCGUGAAGUAGAAGCUUCCACUUGGACGGAUGACGUACUCUCCUUCACCUCCGUUGGACGAACUUUGCCAAUGGACAAGUCUUGGAUUGCUUCUGAAGGGUCUUUGUCUCCUACAUCAAUUGGCAAUUGCUCUACUUGUGAGCCAUUAGAUUCAUCAGACUUCACAUCUACCGUCUCUUCAACCUUUCGGGUGAAAUUGUUGUAGACACGGUAAGUGUGAGAGUUUGAGCCAUAACCGAGUAGGAAACCUUCAUGAGAUUUAGGAGCAAACUUUGAACGAUGAUGCUUAUCAAGAAUGUAGCACUUUGAGCCGAAUACUCGAAAGUAUCCCACUUGGGGUUUGUUACUGGUGAGAUCUCGUAUGCCAUCUUGCCGAGUAGCUUGUUAAGGUACAAGCGAUUUGUUGCGUGACAAGCUGUCUCAACCGCCUCUGCCCAAAAGUGCUUCGGCGUCUUGUAUUCAUCAAGCAUCGUUCUUGCCAUUUCGACGAGUGUCCGGUUCUUCCUCUCAACAACUCCAUUUUGUUGAGGUGUGUACGUAGCCGAGAACUCAUGUGAAAUCCCUUCUUCGUCAAGAAAGGUGUCCACAUUUGCGUUCUUGAACUCCGUUCCGUUGUCACUCCGAACCUUCUUGAUCUUCACGUCAAACUGAUUUUGGGCUUUCCUAGCGAAGUUUUUGAAGAUCUUCUGGACCUGCGACUUGUCAUUAAGAAAGAACACCCACGUAAAUCUUGAAAAAUCAUCAACUAUAACUAGACCAAAAGAAUUUCCACCGAGACUCUUGUAGGCGUUGGGACCAAAAAGAUCCAUAUGAAGUAGCUCGAGUGGCCUCCUUGUGGUCAUGAUGUUCUUCACGGGAUGCCUUCCUCCAACCUGUUUACCUUCUUGACAAGCACUGCAAAGUCUAUCCUUAUCAAAUAUGACAUCGUUAACUCCAAGGAUAUGAUUUCCUUUAAUAAGCUUGUCAAGGUUUCUCAUACCAACGUGACCUAGUCGUCUAUGCCACAACCAACCUUUUGAGGAUUUAGCAAUAAAGCAAGUUUUAGGUUGUGCCUUUUUAGAGAAAUCGACAAUGUAAAGAUCACCUCUACGCAUACCGGUAAAGACCAUUUUAUGAUUGUCUCGACGAAACACUUGGCAAUCUACCUCAGUAAAUAGAACAUUCAAGCCAAAAUCAGCAAGUCUAGAUACUGAAAGUAAGUUGUAGCCGAGAGAUUCAACGAGCAUGACAUUUUGAAUGGAACUAUCAUGUGAGAUGGCCACCUUACCAAGGCUAACCACUUUACCCUUUGAAUUAUCACCAAAGGUGACAUAUUUCCGAGGGCCGUCAUUUUCAGCAAGCUCACGGAACAUCUCUUCAUCUCCAGUCAUAUGAUCAGUACAUCCACUAUCAAGAACCCAUUCCUUUCCUCCUGACUCAUAUCCCCGAAGAUUUGCCGUAAGACCAAAAUGUCUCAUUGCAUCAUCAAGAUCGAAGUCACUAUCAUCAUCAUCAUAGUAUCCAUGUUCACCAUGAUCUUGUGACUCAUCAUUUCCUAGAGAAGGUAAUUCAUUAGAUAAAUGAUCAUCAAGGUGGUCACUUUUAUGAAUUCUUAUAGCUUCGAGUAUAAUAUCACUAAUGAUUCCAACAUCUCCUUUAGCAUGCUUGAGAUUGGUAAGCUCAAAUAGACAAUCACCAAAACUAGGAUCACUAGAGUUCAUUUUACUCAAGGCAAUAGAUUUAUGGAGAAUUUCAUCCAAAUUUUUCAAGGAAUGAUCGGGAAAUCGUUCCUCAAGAAAUUUCCAUAUAGUAUGGGCACAAUUAAGAGUAGGCAAACUAGCAAUCAAUUUUUUGGGCAAUCCUCUAAUGAUGAGCUCAAUAGUUCUAAGAUUGCGAAUCAUGUCAAUAUCUUCAUCUAAGGUAGGAUGCAAAGAAUCAAUAUGAGGUGCACAAGGGCUAGCAAUAUACUUGUUCAAAUGAUAUUGAUUGAAGAUUACAAGCAUCUCGUUUUUCCACUCAUGAAAAUACUCUCCAUCAAGAAUAGGCACUCUAUGUCUAAGACUCCCUAAAGUAGACACAUCCAUCUUCCUCCAAUGGUGAUUAAACCAAGGCAAUGGAGACCAAAGCUCUGAUACCACUUGUAGGACCUUGAAGUAGAUGUGUCUAGAAGGGGGGGUGAUUAGACACUUAAUGCUAAAGUUGCAUUUUUUAAGCUUUUUCAGUUUAAGUGGAGUUUUGGCAUAAUUUCAACAUUCACAAUACAUAUCAAGCAAGUAUGCAAAGAGUAUAUAGGCAGCGGAAAGUAAAGCAUGCAACUUGCAAGAAUGUAAAGGGAAGGGUUUGGAGAAUUCAAACGCAAUUGGAGACACAGAUGUUUUCCCGUGGUUCGGAUAGGUGGUGCUAUCCUACAUCCACGUUGAUGGAGACUUCAACCCACGAAGGGUAACAGUUGCGUGAGUCCACGGAGGGCUCCACCCACGAAGGGUCCACGAAGAAGCAACCUUGUCUAUCCCACCAUGGCCAUCGCCCACGAAGGACUUGCCUCACUAGCGGUAGAUCUUCACGAAGUAGGCGAUCUCCUUGCCCUUACAAACUCCUUGGUUCAACUCCACAAUCUUGUCGGAGGCUCCCAAGUGACACCUAGCCAAUCUAGGAGACACCACUCUCCAAGAAGUAACAAAUGGCGUGUUGAUGAUGAACUCCUUGCUCUUGUGCUUCGAAUGAUAGUCUCCCCAACACUCAACUCUCUCUCAUAGGAUUUGGAUCUGGUGGAAAGAAGAUUUGAGUGGAAAGCAACUUGGGGAAGGCUAGAGAUCAAGAUUCAUAUGGUUUGAAUGGAUUAUCUUGGUCUCAACACAUGAGUAGGUGGUUCUUUCUCAGAACAUAUGAGUUGGAAUGGUGUAUGUGUUCUGAUGGCUCUCUCUACGAAUGAAGAGGAGGUGGAGGGGUAUAUAUAGCCUCCACACAAAAUCCAUCCGUUACACACAGUUUUCCAAUCUCGGUGGGACCGAAUCAACAAACUCGGUCGGACCGAAAUAGUAAACCUAGUGACCAUUAGAGAUUUCGGUGGGACCGACUGGAUCAACUCGGUGGGACCGAUGUGCUAGGGUUAGGGUAAAUCCAAAACUCGGUUUGACCGAUUACACAAACUCGGUGGGACUGAUUUGGGUAAUAAGUGAAACAGAGAGUUGGCCAAGCAAACUCGGUGGGACCGAUUGCAUAUCUUGGUGGGACCGAGAAUAAUGCAAUAGGUAACAGAGAGUUUGCAAGCCCAUCUCGGUGAGACCGAGAUCCCAUCGGUGAGACCGAACUGAUUAGGGUUUCUGGCAGUGGCUAUGACAUGUGAAACUCGAUGGCGCCGGAUAGGAACAAUCGGUAGGACCGAGUUUGGCUUUAGGUUUAGGUCAUAUGUGGAAGUGGGAAAGUAGCUGAGGAUUUUGGAGCACAUCAUUAAGCACUUCAGCAAGAGGCUCAUUAAACAACACCUCAUCCCUCCUUGAUAGUAUUGGCUUUUCCUAUGGACUCAAUGUGAUCUUGGAUCACUAAAAUGUAAAAUGAAGAGUCUUGAGCUUUGAGCUUUAGCCAAUCCUUUGUCCUUAGCAUCUUGGAGAACUUCCCACAGCCUUUAGUCCAUGCCACUCCAUUGUUGAACUUAUCUGAA
RNAcentral lists this long non-coding RNA (7783 nucleotides) under Triticum aestivum (bread wheat). RNAcentral's name for it is "long non-coding RNA (TAES_LNC020999)". Lineage: Eukaryota; Viridiplantae; Streptophyta; Magnoliopsida; Poales; Poaceae. The record is from RNAcentral.